AAUAUAAUAUACUUUUGGACAACCCACCAAAGUACAAAAAUGUAUGGACAAAAAGGAAUAUAUUGGUCUAGUUGAAAAGUAAAAAGAACAAAAUAAAAAACGAAAAAACAAAAUGGAUCUCUCUGGAAGGAGACCAAAACAUGAACUGAUAGAAGAUAAUUUUCCAGAUUUGGAAAGUGAGUUCCAUAUUUCGAGUGUGGAUGGACAAAGUUAAUAUAGGGCUUCUAUAAGCUUCUAUGUGGAUUUUAAUAUGUCUAAUUAUUGUUGUGGAGUAAUUUUGGUGAUAUUUGUACUUUUCUCAUCUUUGUAUGUUUGAGCAUUAAAGUGAGAGUUGAUGAUGAUAAAUUUGAGUAUGUUGCAUAAAAAGAUUUGUAGAUGGUGUAGAAGGUGUUUAUGGGAAGAAAUUGUAUCUGCAAGUUUAUUGAUAGCAAAGUUCAGUUAUUAUAGUGAGUUACUUAAGCGCAAGCCAUGGCGCCGAAAGGACGGUGUCUUCAUGUACUUUAAAGAUAAUGCUGGUGUGAUUGUGAACCCCAAGGGAGAAAUGAAAGGGUCUGCGAUGAGUGGCCCAAUUGGUAAAGAAUGAAUUGAUCCAUAGCGCUCACGUUCACUCUAAAACCCUCAAACAUGACGGUUUUACUGGAUUCAUCUCAUCCUACACAUAUUUUGAUUCCCAGGUAUUCAAACAAUUGUGACGAUUUGUGAUUUUAUUAAAUCACUUUGGGCUCAACAGAGGUUACUAGCGUGUCUCUUUGAGAGGAUACUGGCGUCGCCUCUCUCAGAGUUACUGGAUACUGGUCGUCGUCUCCCUUAGCAUUUGAAUCUGUGAAGGAAUUUGUGAACGAGGCUAACAUGAUCAAGAAGACUGGAACUACUGUAGUUGGCAACAAAUAAAAAGAAGUGGAAUUUUUAAGGAAAUUGAGGUCAGGUAUCGACUUCAACAUGCUCAACUUUUGGAUUGGUGAUUUCAUAAAGAUUUAUUGCAAAUUUACUGGAGAUUUUAAUUCCAUUUGAAUUAGGAGUUAAUUAGUUGGUGUGAUGUUGAGAUUAUUACAUUUUAGUUGGAUCUCAAUUUUACUUGAGAUAAAAAAAGAUAAUUUGUUUUGACAAUGUUUACUUUUACAGAAAACUUAUUAUAUUGCUAUUUUGUUCUUUGAUUAUAAUAUUAGAAAACAUUUGCUUUA
Solanum tuberosum (potato) is the source of this 1181-nucleotide long non-coding RNA. RefSeq lists it as uncharacterized. The record is from RefSeq and is a predicted model, not a curated record. The transcript has 8 exons. NCBI's taxonomy places the organism in Eukaryota, Viridiplantae, Streptophyta, Magnoliopsida, Solanales, Solanaceae.